Molecule: ribosomal RNA, 491 nt
Filed under: uncultured bacterium
Lineage: Bacteria
Description: partial 16S ribosomal RNA
Rfam family: Bacterial small subunit ribosomal RNA
Source: RNAcentral
GAUGAACGCUAGCGAUAGGCUUAACACAUGCAAGUCGAGGGGUAACGUGUUGGAAGCUUGCUUCCGAUGACGACGACCGGCGGAUGGGUGCGUAACGCGUAUGCAACUUGCCUCACAGUGGAGAAUAACCCGGAGAAAUCCGGACUAAUACUCCAUACACUCUUAAGUACGCCUGUACAUGAGAGGAAAGAUUUAUCGCUGUGAGAUAGGCAUGCGUCCUAUUAGGUAGUUGGUGAGGUAACGGCUCACCAAGCCGACGAUAGGUAGGGGUGCUGAGAGGCAGAUCCCCCGCAUUGGGACUGAGACACGGCCCAAACUCCUACGGGAGGCAGCAGUGAGGAAUAUUGGUCAAUGGAGGAAACUCUGAACCAGCCAAGUCGCGUGAAGGAAGAAUGUCCUAAGGAUUGUAAACUUCUUUAGCGAGCGAGUAAGGACUUCCACGUGAUGGGAGUUUGAAAGUAGCUCGAGAAUAAGUAUCGGCUAACUCCGUG